Molecule: ribosomal RNA, 501 nt
Filed under: uncultured bacterium
Lineage: Bacteria
Description: bacterial SSU rRNA
Rfam family: Bacterial small subunit ribosomal RNA
Source: RNAcentral
AUGGCUCAGGAUGAACGCUAGCUACAGGCUAACACAUGCAAGUCGAGGGGUAGCAGGGUAGCAAUACCGCUGACGACCGGCGCACGGGUGAGUAACACGUAUCCAACCUCCCAUAACUCAGGGAUAGCCUUUCGAAAGAAAGAUUAAUACCUGAUAGUACUUUUUCAAGGCAUCUUGAAAAAGCUAAAGAUUUAUUGGUUAUGGAUGGGGAUGCGUUCCAUUAGAUAGUUGGUGAGGUAACGGCUCACCAAGUCUUCGAUGGAUAGGGGUUCUGAGAGGAAGGUCCCCCACAUUGGUACUGAGACACGGACCAAACUCCUACGGGAGGCAGCAGCGAGGAAUAUUGGUCAAUGGGCGAGAGCCUGAACCAGCCAAGUAGCGUGAAAGGAUGAAGGUCCUAUGGAUUGUAAACUUCUUUUAUAGUAGAAUAAAGUGAGCCACGUGUGGUUUUUUGUAUGUAUACUAUGAAUAAGGAUCGGCUAACUCCGUGCCAGCCGCCGC